Molecule: non-coding RNA, 285 nt
Organism: Pelobates cultripes (western spadefoot toad)
Lineage: Eukaryota; Metazoa; Chordata; Amphibia; Anura; Pelobatidae
Source: the annotation of a GenBank genome assembly
CAAUAGGCUAAGAUUCCUCAGGAAUGCUGCCAGAAGCUGGUGUCUGACUAUUCAUUCUAUUUGCAGCAGGUCAUAAUAGCAAAAGGGUGCUCUACUAAGUACUAAAGAUGCUUGCCAUGAAGGGGUUGAAUAAUUGUGAGACUGGAGAAGUCAUUAUAAGUUGCAUUUUCAGUUGAAUGUGGGGAAACUACUUGAAGCAUUCAUUGUGUUCAGCUGGUUUGAUUUGUUCAUUGCAAAUAGUUAAAAGUCUGCACAUUUUGACAAUAAAUCUGAUUUUCAGUGGAG